GGAGGAAUACCCAAGUGGUCGAAGGGGCGGGCUUGGAAAGCUCGUAGGCUUGUAACAGGGCGCUAGGGUUCGAAUCCCUAUUCCUCCGCCA
This 91-nucleotide transfer RNA is filed under the name Bacilli bacterium. RNAcentral's name for it is "tRNA-Ser". It matches the Rfam family "tRNA". From Rfam's summary of the family: Transfer RNA (tRNA) molecules are approximately 80 nucleotides in length. Their secondary structure includes four short double-helical elements and three loops (D, anti-codon, and T loops). The record is from RNAcentral. Lineage: Bacteria; Bacillati; Bacillota; Bacilli. RNAcentral also lists the same sequence under 1 other name.